RNAcentral lists this ribosomal RNA (465 nucleotides) under uncultured bacterium. Its description in RNAcentral is "partial 16S ribosomal RNA". It matches the Rfam family "Bacterial small subunit ribosomal RNA", at positions 338 to 795 of the family's 1533-position model. The record is from RNAcentral.
CCUACGGGCGGCAGCAGUGGGGAAUAUUGCGCAAUGCGCGAAAGCCUGACGCAGCGACGCCGCGUGAGGGAUGAAGGUCUUCGGAUCGUAAACCUCUGUCAGCAGGGAAGAACGGUCACUGUGCUAAUCAGCAGUGAAUUGACGGUACCUGCAAAGGAAGGACCGGCUCACUCCGUGCCAGCAGCCGCGGUAAUACGGAGGGUGCGCGCGUUAAUCGGAAUUACUGGGCGUAAAGCGCUCGUAGGCGGUAUGUCAAGUCAAGGGUGAAAUCCCCGCGCUCAACGUGGGAACUGCCUUUGAAACUGGCAAACUUGAGUGUGUGAGAGGAUAGUGGAAUUCCAGGUGUAGGAGUGAAAUCCGUAGAUAUCUGGAGGAACAUCAGUGGCGAAGGCGACUAUCUGGCACAUAACUGACGCUGAGGAGCGAAAGCGUGGGUAGCAAACAGGAUUAGAUACCCUGGUAGUC